UACGGAGGGGGCUAGCGUUGUUCGGAAUUACUGGGCGUAAAGCGCGCGUAGGCGGUUUUUUAAGUCAGAGGUGAAAGCCUGGAGCUCAACUCCAGAACUGCCUUUGAAACUGGAAAACUUGAAUCUUGGAGAGGUCAGUGGAAUUCCGAGUGUAGAGGUGAAAUUCGUAGAUAUUCGGAAGAACACCAGUGGCGAAGGCGACAUACUGGCUCAUUACUGACGCUGAGGCGCGAAAGCGUGGGGAGCAAACAGG
This 253-nucleotide ribosomal RNA is filed under the name uncultured Sphingomonadales bacterium. Its description in RNAcentral is "partial 16S ribosomal RNA". It matches the Rfam family "Bacterial small subunit ribosomal RNA", at positions 524 to 776 of the family's 1533-position model. The record is from RNAcentral. Lineage: Bacteria; Pseudomonadati; Pseudomonadota; Alphaproteobacteria; Sphingomonadales.